UACAGAGGUCUCAAGCGUUGUUCGGAUUUAUUGGGCGUAAAGGGUGCGUAGGCGGCGCGGUAAGUCGGGUGUGAAAUCUCGGAGCUUAACUCCGAAACUGCAUUCGAUACUGCCGUGCUUGAGGACUGGAGAGGAGACUGGAAUUUACGGUGUAGCGGUGAAAUGCGUAGAUAUCGUAAGGAAGACCAGUGGCGAAGGCGGGUCUCUGGACAGUUCCUGACGCUGAGGCACGAAGGUCAGGGGAGCAAACGGG
Molecule: ribosomal RNA, 253 nt
Filed under: uncultured bacterium
Lineage: Bacteria
Description: partial 16S ribosomal RNA
Rfam family: Bacterial small subunit ribosomal RNA
Source: RNAcentral